GUGAGGAGAGAGUUAGAGCUUGUUGGCUGUGCUGCAAGGAGUUGCCCAUGAGAAAUCACUGAGAAGGACAGUCUCUUGCCUCAAAAAUCUGUUCUUCAAGCCAGAACAGGGUGGUGGACCCAGAAGUAUUCCUCAGGAAUAGAAGAAUUUACUCCAGGGAUGUUUUCAGAAGAAGCCAAGUCAGUGACUGUGAUGUUCUGGGGUGAAGAUUCAUAAGGCACAACUUCAGGAAACUUCUGUGAAUGUCCUACAGCACUGAUGUAUGACUGGAUGGGCCAAACAUUGCCCAGUCAAAUUCUGUACUGGAAGAAAUCCCACUGAAGAAAUUCCAAUGAAGUUAGAUCAGCAGGAGGUUUGGUAUUUCACAAGGGUGCUUGCUUGCUAGAGUGUUUGUGGAAGUGAAGAGAAAGGAGCUGAAGGAAUUUAUCAGGAGAAAGAGGAGGAAAAAUGAAGACAAUCCAAGGAACACAGAAAUCUGUACAGACCAAGGAUAAGUUAUACUUGAAAUGUAAGGAAAUUGUGGCUUCUGGGAGAAAGGACUUCACACUUUGGCUACAGACUACAUGGAAGGGAAUGCAGAAGUGUGGAAUUUUAAAGCAGAUUCAUGCCAAGCCUACACUGGGCAAACAGUGUCCAACAUAGUGUUUAAAGUAUGUUCCCAGCUUGGUGGUGCUCGUGGAGAAAUACUGCUGGAAAUCAUGCAUAUGGCACAUUGCCCAGCCAGUGUGGUGCAGAUGUAUAAGGAGGAGUCCUCCAGGACUACUGAAAGGUGCUUUUUGCUGUCCUGUGAAGAAGAUUAAACCUGCUUUUACUGGCUCCCUUGGACAGUAUGGGAGUUUCCUUGGGAUGAUGAAGGUGCUCAGCAGAGGUACUGAAUGAAGCCAAGUGGGAUGAUUCUGUCUUGUGUCUCAUUGCCUCACCUGUCACUGCUCUCUUGGUGUUUUCUCUCUGUUCCUCCUUUCCUGGAGAUUUUACAGAGCAGAGCAGAAAACAUUUCUGAAGAUUUCAUCCCUGCUCAUCUUUAUUAACUAUGGUGUCAAGUCCUGCCUGGGGUCAAGGAGCAGUGUUGUGACAAAAAGACAGGCUGGAAACCUAGGAUCAGUCUGGGAGCUUUGGUGUGGAAGCAUUAUUCACUUCCAGGUUGUGGAAAUCUCCCCACCAAGGACUUCCUUUGACUCAAAAUAAAAUGUACCUGUUUCUGGUAGUUGAAUGCUGUAUUUAAUUUCAUUCUUCUGAUUGACAUAAAUUCUUGAAAUAAAACUAUCUUGAAACAAGAUGUCUUAAGGUUACAUUUAUGAAUUGUUAAACCACAUUCUAAACAAAUAAAUCACACUAUUUUAAAAAGUGUUACAGAAAUAAAGUUCAUAUUUUCUGGA
Zonotrichia leucophrys gambelii is the source of this 1376-nucleotide long non-coding RNA. RefSeq lists it as uncharacterized. Lineage: Eukaryota; Metazoa; Chordata; Aves; Passeriformes; Passerellidae. The record is from RefSeq and is a predicted model, not a curated record. The transcript has 7 exons.